GCCCUACGGGGCGCAGCAGGCGCGAAACCUCUGCAAUGCGGGAAACCGUGACAGGGGGAUCCCAAGUGCUCAUGCAUUGCAUGGGCUGUUCUUUGGUCUAAGUAACCAGAGGAGUAAGGGCUGGGCAAGACCGGUGCCAGCCGCCGCGGUAAUACCGGCAGCUCAAGUGGUAGCCGCGAUUAUUGGGCCUAAAACGUUCGUAGCCGGAUAAGUAAGUCUUUGGUUAAAUCCUGCGACUCAACCGUGGGAAUUCUAGAGAUACUGCUUGUCUUGAGACCGGGAGAGGUUGGAGGUACUCCUAGGGUAGGGGUGAAAUCCUGUAAUCCUAGGGGGACCACCUGUGGCGAAGGCGUCCAACUGGAACGGGUCUGACGGUGAGGGACGAAACCUAGGGGAGCGAGCCGGAUUAGAUACCCGGGUAGUCCUAGGCGUAAAUGAUGCGAGUUAAGUGUGGGGGCAUCUACGAGAUGGCCCUGUGCUGUAGGGUAGCCGUUAAACUCGCUGCCUGGGGAGUACGGUCGCAAGGCUGAAACUUAAAGGAAUUGGCGGGGGAGCACCACAAGAGGUGGAGGCUGCGGUUCAAUUGGACUCAACGCCGGAAAACUCAUCG
This 610-nucleotide ribosomal RNA is filed under the name uncultured archaeon. Its description in RNAcentral is "bacterial SSU rRNA". It matches the Rfam family "Archaeal small subunit ribosomal RNA", at positions 320 to 932 of the family's 1478-position model. The record is from RNAcentral.